This 446-nucleotide ribosomal RNA is filed under the name uncultured bacterium. Its description in RNAcentral is "bacterial SSU rRNA". It matches the Rfam family "Bacterial small subunit ribosomal RNA", at positions 330 to 794 of the family's 1533-position model. The record is from RNAcentral.
UCCAGACUCCUACGGGAGGCAGCAGUGGGGAAUAUUGCACAAUGGGGGAAACCCUGAUGCAGCAACGCCGCGUGAGUGAAGAAGUCAUUCGUGAUGUAAAGCUCUAUCAGCAGGGAAGAAAAUGACGGUACCUGAGUAAGAAGCCCCGGCUAACUACGUGCCAGCAGCCGCGGUAAUACGGAGGAUGCGAGCGUUAUCCGGAUUUAUUGGGUUUAAAGGGUGCGUAGGCGGUAUUUUAAGUUAGUGGUAAAACGUCGGGGCUUCACCUUGAUUGGCCAUUAAAACUGGAGUACUAGAGUACAGACGAGGUAGGCGGAAUAAGUUAAGUAGCGGUGAAAUGCUUAGAUAUAACUUAGAACCCCGAUAGCGAAGACAGCUUACCAGACUGUUACUGACGCUGAAGCACGAGAGCGUGGGUAGCGAACAGGAUUAGAUACCCGCGUAAC